This 800-nucleotide ribosomal RNA is filed under the name Bacillus sp. ME38. RNAcentral describes it as "bacterial SSU rRNA". It matches the Rfam family "Bacterial small subunit ribosomal RNA", at positions 47 to 827 of the family's 1533-position model. The record is from RNAcentral. Lineage: Bacteria; Bacillati; Bacillota; Bacilli; Caryophanales; Bacillaceae.
CCUAAUCAUGCAAGUUCGAGCGAAUGGAUUAAGAGCUUGCUCUUAUGAAGUUAGCGGCGGACGGGUGAGUAACACGUGGGUAACCUGCCCAUAAGACUGGGAUAACUCCGGGAAACCGGGGCUAAUACCGGAUAACAUUUUGAACCGCAUGGUUCGAAAUUGAAAGGCGGCUUCGGCUGUCACUUAUGGAUGGACCCGCGUCGCAUUAGCUAGUUGGUGAGGUAACGGCUCACCAAGGCAACGAUGCGUAGCCGACCUGAGAGGGUGAUCGGCCACACUGGGACUGAGACUCGGCCCAGACUCCUACGGGAGGCAGCAGUAGGGAAUCUUCCGCAAUGGACGAAAGUCUGACGGAGCAACGCCGCGUGAGUGAUGAAGGCUUUCGGGUCGUAAAACCCUGUUGUUAGGGAAAAACAAGUGCUAGUUGAAUAAGCUGGCACCUUGACGGUACCUAACCAGAAAGCCACGGCUAACUACGUGCCAGCAGCCGCGGUAAUACGUAGGUGGCAAGCGUUAUCCGGAAUUAUUGGGCGUAAAGCGCGCGCAGGUGGUUUCUUAAGUCUGAUGUGAAAGCCCACGGCUCAACCGUGGAGGGUCAUUGGAAACUGGGAGACUUGAGUGCAGAAGAGGAAAGUGGAAUUCCAUGUGUAUCGUUGAAAUGCGUAGAGAUAUGGAGGAACACCAGUGGCGAAGGCGACUUUCUGGUCUGUAACUGACACUGAGGCGCGAAAGCGUGGGGAGCAAACAGGAUUAGAUACCCUGGUAGUCCACGCCGUAAACGAUGAGUGCUAAGUGUUAGA